UGGGGAAUAUUGCGCAAUGGGGGGAACCCUGACGCAGCCAUGCCGCGUGAAUGAAGAAGGCCUUCGGGUUGUAAAGUUCUUUCGGUAUUGAGGAAGGUUGAUGUGUUAAUAGCACAUCAAAUUGACGUUAAAUACAGAAGAAGCACCGGCUAACUCCGUGCCAGCAGCCGCGGUAAUACGGAGGGUGCGAGCGUUAAUCGGAAUAACUGGGCGUAAGGGGCACGCAGGCGGUUAUUUAAGUGAGGUGUGAAAGCCCUGGGCUUAACCUAGGAAUUGCAUUUCAGACUGGGUAACUAGAGUACUUUAGGGAGGGGUAGAAUUCCACGUGUAGCGGUGAAAUGCGUAGAGAUGUGGAGGAAUACCGAAGGCGAAGGCAGCCCCUUGGGAAUGUACUGACGCUCAUGUGCGAAAGCGUGGGGAGCAAACAGGAUUAGAUACCCUGGUAGUCCACGCUGUAAACGCUGUCGAUUUGGGGAUUGGGCUUAGAGCUUGGUGCCCGUAGCUAACGUGAUAAAUCGACCGCCUGGGGAGUACGGCCGCAAGGUUA
This 547-nucleotide ribosomal RNA is filed under the name uncultured bacterium. Its description in RNAcentral is "bacterial SSU rRNA". It matches the Rfam family "Bacterial small subunit ribosomal RNA", at positions 355 to 896 of the family's 1533-position model. The record is from RNAcentral.